Molecule: long non-coding RNA, 941 nt
Organism: Lycium barbarum (goji berry)
Lineage: Eukaryota; Viridiplantae; Streptophyta; Magnoliopsida; Solanales; Solanaceae
Exons: 2
Source: RefSeq, a predicted model, not a curated record
UCUCCCUUUGUGGUUCUGAUUUGAUUUUUAUCCUCUUUCACUUGAAUGUGAAAUUGACUUGUUUCCUUCUUUCUCUUUCUAAGUUUUAGUAGUAAGAAUUUCUACUCAUUUUCUUUCAACAAUUAGGACUCCUUUUUUUCUGGAUUCUUGAAUGUGACAAGGUUAGCACUACUAUCUUGAAUUAAUGAUCAUAUGAGUUAUAAAAAAAAAAAAUUGCCUUUAGGUGUACCCUCUCCAUGCAUGGCUUCUCUAAACUGUAAUUUGUAAGUUACUUAAUGGAACCCUUUUUGUCCCCCUUGUGUUUCAGUUGUUUAUGUUACAGUAGGAUGGUUUGAUGCUACUCAUUAGAUGCGUGACUGUGUGGAUCCUGUUGCUGAUUUUCUAGAGUAUACUCGUGCCUUCUUCCGCAAACUGGUUAUUGACUUGGUGUUGAGACAUUGCUCCCGUCUGGUAAAGGAAUUGUUUACCAUUGAAUUAUUUUUUGACUGCCUGAUCUUUUUAUGACGUUGCUCUAGUGUUGCUCGAGUACAGGUUGGUUCUGUAUUCUCUCCAAUGCUCUGGUUCCUUAUCUUACUCUCACAUUUCAUUUGGAAUAUCAGGAGUGUCAGAUGGCUAUACUGAUUUUUCUGGUUGACGUUUUCUUUUGUAGGCUUUAAGUGGAUUUGGAAUUCCAAGACAGAUGCUAUUGAUUUAGAUGCUUCUUGACUAGUUGUGCGGAAAGUGAGCUUAAGUGCUUCACCUUGAAUUAAAGAAGAUCAUUGUGUGGCAUCAACUCGAAACACCAUGCAAAUGCUUAGCAUUAGUACUUUUUUUUAUUUGAUGUGGGACUGUUUUAGAUUCUUACGAAUUUAAGGUUGUAAUGUACAACUCAUUAUACAUGAAUUUGUACUCUACUAUUUUAGUUUGACAUGAGUUUAAAUUUGCAAUAUUGUUAUUGUGAA